GAUAAACGCUGGCGGCGUGCCUAAAACAUGCAAGUCGAACGGGUGUCUUCGGACACCAGUGGCGGACGGCUGAGUAACACGUGGGUGACCUGCCCUCGAGCGGGGGAUAACUGCCCGAAAGGGUGGCUAAUACCGCAGACAUCCAGCAUUCGGUUGGUGGAUUGAACCUACGGGGUUCGGGGAGGGGCCCGCGGUCGAUUAGCUGGUUGGUGGGGUAACGGCCUACCAAGGCUGCGAUCGAUAGCUGGUCUGAGAGGAUGAUCAGCCAGACUGGGACUGCGAACGGCCCAGACUCCUACGGGAGGCAGCAGUUAGGAAUUUUGGGCAAUGGGCGGAAGCCUGACCCAGCAACGCCGCGUGGGUGAUGAAGGCCCUCGGGUCGUAAAGCCCUUUUCCCAGGGACGAUGGUGACGGUACCUGGGGAAUCAGCCCCGGCUAACUACGUGCCAGCCGCCGCCGUAACAC
This 465-nucleotide ribosomal RNA is filed under the name uncultured bacterium. Its description in RNAcentral is "bacterial SSU rRNA". It matches the Rfam family "Bacterial small subunit ribosomal RNA", at positions 28 to 526 of the family's 1533-position model. The record is from RNAcentral.